GAUGAACGCUGGCGGCGUGCCUAACACAUGCAAGUCGAACGAAGCACCUUACCUGAUUCUUCGGAUGAAAGUCUGGUGACUGAGUGGCGGACGGGUGAGUAACGCGUGGGUAACCUGCCCUGUACAGGGGGAUAACAGCUGGAAACGGCUGCUAAUACCGCAUAAGCGCACGAGGAGACAUCUUCUUGUGUGAAAAACUCCGGUGGUACAGGAUGGGCCCGCGUCUGAUUAGCUGGUUGGCAGGGUAACGGCCUACCAAGGCAACGAUCAGUAGCCGGUCUGAGAGGAUGAACGGCCACAUUGGAACUGAGACACGGUCCAAACGCCUACGGGAGGCAGCAGUGGGGAAUAUUGCACAAUGGGGGAAAUCCUGAUGCAGCAACGCCGCGUGAGUGAAGAAGUAUUUCGGUAUGUAAAGCUCUAUCAGCAGGGAAGAUAAUGACGGUACCUGACUAAGAAGCUCCGGCUAAACACGUGCCAGCCGCCGCCGUAA
RNAcentral lists this ribosomal RNA (493 nucleotides) under uncultured bacterium. RNAcentral's name for it is "partial 16S ribosomal RNA". It matches the Rfam family "Bacterial small subunit ribosomal RNA", at positions 28 to 523 of the family's 1533-position model. The record is from RNAcentral.